RNAcentral lists this ribosomal RNA (460 nucleotides) under uncultured bacterium. RNAcentral's name for it is "partial 16S ribosomal RNA". It matches the Rfam family "Bacterial small subunit ribosomal RNA", at positions 338 to 795 of the family's 1533-position model. The record is from RNAcentral.
CCUACGGGUGGCAGCAGUGAGGAAUAUUGGUCAAUGGACGAGAGUCUGAACCAGCCAAGUAGCGUGAAGGAUGACUGCCCUAUGGGUUGUAAACUUCUUUUAUAUGGGAAUAAAAUGUUCCACGUGUGGGAUUUUGUAUGUACCAUAUGAAUAAGCAUCGGCUAACUCCGUGCCAGCAGCCGCGGUAAUACGGAGGAUCCGAGCGUUAUCCGGAUUUAUUGGGUUUAAAGGGAGCGUAGGUGGAUUGUUAAGUCAGUUGUGAAAGUUUGCGGCUCAACCGUAAAAUUGCCGUUGAAACUGGCAGUCUUGAGUACAGUAGAGGUGGGCGGAAUUCGUGGUGUAGCGGUGAAAUGCUUAGAUAUCACGCAGAACUCCGAUUGCGAAGGCAGUUCACUGGACUGCAACUGACACUGAGGCACGAAAGUGUGGGUAUCAAACAGGAUUAGAUACCCCUGUAGUC